Molecule: ribosomal RNA, 502 nt
Filed under: uncultured bacterium
Lineage: Bacteria
Description: bacterial SSU rRNA
Rfam family: Bacterial small subunit ribosomal RNA
Source: RNAcentral
GAUGAACGCUAGCGGCAGGCUUAAUACAUGCAAGUCGAGGGGCAGCAGCUUUGUAGCAAUACAGGGGCUGGCGACCGGCAAACGGGUGCGGAACACGUACGCAACCUUCCUUUAACUGGAAGAUAGCCCACCGAAAGGUGGAUUAAUACUCCAUAACAUAUUGAAGAGGCAUCUCUUUGAUAUUAAAGCUCCGGCGGUUAAAGAUGGGCGUGCGUCUGAUUAGGUAGUUGGCGGGGUAACGGCCCACCAAGCCUUCGAUCAGUAGCUGAUGUGAGAGCAUGAUCAGCCACACGGGCACUGAGACACGGGCCCGACUCCUACGGGAGGCAGCAGUAAGGAAUAUUGGUCAAUGGACGCAAGUCUGAACCAGCCAUGCCGCGUGGAGGAUGAAGGCCCUCUGGGAUUGUAAACUUCUUUUAUCUGGGACAAAAAGGGAUUCUUUCUCACUUGACGGUACCAGAGGAAUAAGCACCGGCUAACUUCGUGCCAGCAGCCGCGGUAA